RNAcentral lists this ribosomal RNA (188 nucleotides) under uncultured rumen bacterium. RNAcentral's name for it is "partial 16S ribosomal RNA". It matches the Rfam family "Bacterial small subunit ribosomal RNA", at positions 340 to 524 of the family's 1533-position model. The record is from RNAcentral.
UACGGGAGGCAGCAGUGAGGAAUAUUGGUCAAUGGGCGGAAGCCUGAACCAGCCAUGCCGCGUGCGGGACGACGGCCCUACGGGUUGUAAACCGCUUUUGUGUGUGAGCAAUAAGGGCGCUUAGUGCGUCCGAUGAGAGUAGCAUACGAAUAAGCAUCGGCUAACUCCGUGCCAGCAGCCGCGGUAAU